GUGCUUGCUUCAGCAGCACAUAUACUAAAAUUGGAACAAUACGGAGAAGAUUAGCAUGGUCCAUGUGCAAGGAUGACAUGCAAAUUCGAGAAGCAUUCCAUAUUUUU
Molecule: small nuclear RNA, 107 nt
Filed under: Vulpes vulpes (red fox)
Lineage: Eukaryota; Metazoa; Chordata; Mammalia; Carnivora; Canidae
Also listed under: 1 other name
Source: RNAcentral